RNAcentral lists this unclassified non-coding RNA (348 nucleotides) under soil metagenome. Its description in RNAcentral is "partial contains 5.8S ribosomal RNA, internal transcribed spacer 2, and large subunit ribosomal RNA". The stretch from base 1 to 120 matches the Rfam family "5.8S ribosomal RNA", at positions 35 to 154 of the family's 154-position model. The record is from RNAcentral.
GAUGAAGAACGUAGCGAAAUGCGAUAAGUAAUGUGUAUUGCAGAAUUCAGUGAAUCAUCGAGUCUUUGAACGCACAUUGCGCCCCCUGGUAUUCCGGGGGGCAUGCCUGUCCGAGCGUCAUUGCCGCCCUCAAGCACGGCUUGUGUGUUGGGCCCCCGCCCCCCGGCUUCGGGGGGCGGGCCCGAAAGGCAGCGGCGGCACCGCGUCCGGUCCUCGAGCGUAUGGGGCUUCGUCACCCGCUCUGUAGGCCCGGCCGGCGCCCGCCGGCGACCCCAAUCAAUCUUUCCAGGUUGACCUCGGAUCAGGUAGGGAUACCCGCUGAACUUAAGCAUAUCAAUAAGCGGAGGA